AACGACUCUCGACAACGGAUAUCUCGGCUCUCGCAUCGAUGAARAACGUAGCGAAAUGCGAUACUUGGUGUGAAUUGCAGAAUCCCGUGAACCAUCGAGUCUUUGAACGCAAGUUGCGCCCGAAGCCAUUAGGCUAAGGGCACGUCUGCCUGGGUGUCACGC
This 162-nucleotide ribosomal RNA is filed under the name Heracleum stenopterum. RNAcentral's name for it is "5.8S ribosomal RNA". It matches the Rfam family "5.8S ribosomal RNA". Rfam says of the family: 5.8S ribosomal RNA (5.8S rRNA) is a component of the large subunit of the eukaryotic ribosome. It is transcribed by RNA polymerase I as part of the 45S precursor that also contains 18S and 28S rRNA. Lineage: Eukaryota; Viridiplantae; Streptophyta; Magnoliopsida; Apiales; Apiaceae. The record is from RNAcentral.